AUCAAUCCAAUUAUUCAAAUUUGUAUUACAAUUUACAACUAUUAGUAGAGUGCCUAAUUUACGCAGCCACCUUCUAGGAAGGGUUCUGUUUCAACUAAGCCUCGAAUGUAAUACUAAUAGUGGUAUAGUCCUACAAAGCCAUUCUCUAACUCAACUAUAGAUUGACCGUUAUCAACUACUGGUCUUGGUAAAGCUCGUUGACGAUCUUGAAGUUCCAUGCCGUCGUCACUAUCAUAUCCAAUGGCUGAAUCUAUGAAAAGUUCAUAUUGACUACUUAACUUUGGAAGUCCUAGAUUUCUCCGCUCAGCAUUUAUCUAAUCUCUAAACAACACCGAUAUUUCUAAACUGUCUUCUGCUAACGAAUAUCUGUGGCCUCCAAUUUGAAAUCUUGCCGCACUGAAAGCGGCCUUCGAAGCUACU
RNAcentral lists this long non-coding RNA (420 nucleotides) under Solanum tuberosum (potato). Its description in RNAcentral is "long non-coding RNA (STUB_LNC001300)". Lineage: Eukaryota; Viridiplantae; Streptophyta; Magnoliopsida; Solanales; Solanaceae. The record is from RNAcentral.